Lolium rigidum is the source of this 85-nucleotide small nucleolar RNA. RefSeq annotates it as small nucleolar RNA SNORD25. Lineage: Eukaryota; Viridiplantae; Streptophyta; Magnoliopsida; Poales; Poaceae. The record is from RefSeq and is a predicted model, not a curated record. The transcript has a single exon.
GGCAGCAGUGAUGAGUUCUUUCAGACCUGUAAUGAUUCUUGCGGAAAUGAUCGCAUUCAAAGAACAUCUAAGGGGCUGAGUUGUC